GAUGAACGCUGGCGGCGUGCCUAACACAUGCAAGUCGAACGGAGUCCAGCCUUUAAGACCUUCGGGUCAAAGAGGGGAAGACUGAGUGGCGGACGGGUGAGUAACACGUGGGCAACCUGGCUCAUAGAGGGGGAUAACAGAGAGAAAUUUCUGCUAAUACCGCAUAAGCACACACUGCCGCAUGGCAGAGGGUGAAAAGAGAAUCGCUAUGAGAUGGACCCGCGUCUGAUUAGCCAGUUGGCAGGGUAAGAGCCUACCAAAGCGACGAUCAGUAGCCGAUCUGAGAGGAUGAACGGCCACAUUGGGACUGAGACACGGCCCAAACUCCUGCGGGAGGCAGCAGUGGGGGAUAUUGCACAAUGGGGGGAACCCUGAUGCAGCGACGCCGCGUGAGUGAAGAAGUAUUUCGGUAUGUAAAGCUCUAUCAGCAGGGAAGAUAAUGACAGUACCUGAAUAAGAAGCCCCGGCUAACUACGUG
This 478-nucleotide ribosomal RNA is filed under the name uncultured bacterium. RNAcentral's name for it is "partial 16S ribosomal RNA". It matches the Rfam family "Bacterial small subunit ribosomal RNA", at positions 28 to 507 of the family's 1533-position model. The record is from RNAcentral.